RNAcentral lists this long non-coding RNA (671 nucleotides) under Fragaria vesca (wild strawberry). RNAcentral describes it as "long non-coding RNA (FVES_LNC003638)". Lineage: Eukaryota; Viridiplantae; Streptophyta; Magnoliopsida; Rosales; Rosaceae. The record is from RNAcentral.
CAAAUUUUUAUUAUUAUUUGCAUAAAAAAAACAUACAAGGAAUAAGCCUAAUGUUAGGAAUGGUUCGUUUUAGGACUCUUAAACCUAACAAGUUCACAAGAAAAUAAAGCAAGUUUACAAGAUUAUAGUUUCAUGGUAGUUAUCUGUCUCUCAAACAAAAAAAAUCUGUCUCUCCUCCAAGCUAGCAAGUACCCAGCCAAGUGAUAACAUUCUUGCUGCAGCAGCAUAUCCACAUAUCCUCUGUGCAAUUUGCUUGUCACUGCAUCUUUCAAAUUAAUCUUUGGCACCAUCUGAUAAUGAAAGCCAUGGUUGAAUUUCAAAGUCAACUGCACCUUCCUAUAUGACAUCAAAUAUACUCUCUCAGUCUAUGCACAAGUAUAUAUAAAGUUAGGGGUGAUGAGAGCACAGUCAAAAAGAAUAUAAUGAAUGAAUUGAAUUUACUAGCCCAAAAUGGAGGUACACUACAGUAAGUAUCCAUCUCUAAUUCUUCUUUACCCGAAGUCUUUUAUGCAUAGCACUAGCAUCCCUCAUAUACCUUAUAGAUGAUAACAUCAACUUUAUAAAUUGAAACAAACAUAAAAAUGAUCGGCAGCAAAAAAACAAGCAUUUCACACAAGCAAAUAGAAACAACAUAUAAAGCAAACAUAGAGGCUCCCCAAUUUUUCCCCUAC